This is a non-coding RNA of Podarcis lilfordi (Lilford's wall lizard), 68 nucleotides long. The record is from the annotation of a GenBank genome assembly. NCBI's taxonomy places the organism in Eukaryota, Metazoa, Chordata, Lepidosauria, Squamata, Lacertidae.
GAGCUCAGGGCCAGAGCACCUGCUUUGCAUGCAGAAGUUCCUGGGUUCAAUCCCCAACAGCAUCUCCA